UCGUGUUCCGAAGCGUUUGCUUGACGUCCGAUCGGGUCAAGUAGUGACAUCGUCAAAGUUGAUCAAAAUUCAUACAUUACGAGUAUAAUUUUUUCCAAAAAUGUCCUUAGAGUUAUUGAGUGUUCAUUUUUAUGAAAACUGUAACUUGUUAUUUACAUAUCUAGUUGCAAAUGUUCAGUAAAAAACAUUCGACUAUUUACCACAAUAACCAAUUGCACUUAAAAAUUUCAAAUUUCGACACAGAUGAUCUUAAAAUAUUGUUGAAGGAAUGAACAACAAUUCAUGGUAAUUUCCCUCAGACUAAGAUGAUAAACACUCGUGGAGCAAGAAAAAGAUUAGUUUAUCUUUUAUUACUAUUUGUCCUAUACUACAAUGAACAAAUCUCGGCUGAUGUUGAUGAAAAAAUCAACAAAGGAAGCCAUUCAAAGUACAACAAAAGGCAGUUAAAAGUACACCACAAACGUCAUUUGUCUAAAACUUUGUCAGCAGGUGCAGGCUACCACUUGGGAAACGAUCUUAUUAAUGAUGUGGACAGUUCCAAUAACAUGUUUAUGACCGAAAAUGGGACAAUCGUGACGUCACAAAUUGGUGGAACCGCUAUUUUGCCCUGUGCCACAACCAAAUCUGGCAUAGCCACCGUUUCGUGGAUAAGAAGAAUUGAUUACACAAUUCUUACAAUUGGAUCAAGAAGUUAUAGCAGCGAUAAGAGAUUCUAUGUUGAUCAUACGAGACACUUGAAGACGUGGAAUUUAGAAAUAACACCAGUAGAAGAAUCUGAUGCAGGCCUUUAUGAAUGUCGUAUCGCUACACACCCAACAACAAGCAUAUUUAUUCAUCUAAAAGUUACAGUGGCCAAAGCAGAAAUUUUAGGUUCUCCAGAUUUAUACAUAAUGAGUGGUAGUAGCUUAAGGCUUGUUUGUCGUCUUCGAGAAUCUACACAAGCUCCUUCGUUCGUCUUUUGGUACCAUUCAGACAGAAUGAUAAACUUCGAUACGGAUCGAGGACUCAUUGUUCAUAUUAAUAGCACUGAAAGCGAUCUAAUUAUGCCUUAUACAAAUACUUCAGACAGUGGUAAUUACACCUGUCAACCACAAAAUAUACAACCUGCUACGAUUCACGUGCAUGUGUUGCAAUCUGAAGCACCAGCCGCCAUGCAACAUGGUGUUCGUAGUACUACCUCUGGGUCAUUUGCAGUAUCCAAUUGUGCGUUAUUCACUUUAACAUACAUGGCAAUGCAAAUGUUAAGCUAAAAUGGACUGAUUAAAAUGUAAAUAGUCUUUUUUUAAAUUUAAAGUAUGUCAUACAGAUUAAAUCUAGGUUAUGUAUAAAAUGUAUGUAUGUUAAUUUUUAAUACGAUGUAACACAACACGCUCAUUAUUUAGCUUUGGGAGUUAUUAUCGAGUAAAAAAUUAUUUAUUGUUGAAUUGAAGUUAAUUUAUUUAAUUUAUGUAUAUCAGUCUGAAUAAGUAAGAACUUUACCUCAUUUUUUCAUUAAAUAAAGAUUUUUUCAUAAAAAUGUAUUCAAUUAAAUUAGAAUUAUUUUUAUGAAACAUAGUAAAUAUUAAUUUCAUUGUAAGAGUAAAUUAUUAUUUCUUAGUGUAGUUUUUAAAGGUAAUAUUCAAAAGUUAAAUUGGAACCUAUUAUUUUUUUACUAUUAAAUACGGAAUGAAUAAACUAAAAUUUUAACCGGUUUAAAACCAGUUUUGCAAUAUUAAUUUUUGAGAAGGUGGCAUUUUAAAUUUAGAAAAAAAUGAGGUGGUGUUUACCAUGACGAAUAUAUAACAAUUUUACUUCGCUCCGCAUUCCGCUCCCGUAUAAAUAAAAACUAUAUUUCAUUAAUUAAUUUUUUUUAGUUCAGUGAUUUUCUACAUUCAUGAAGUAUUUUUAUAUUUAUUCCUUAUACUUCAUAAGAAUAUCAACUUUAAUUUUUCAACCACAUAAUUAACUAACUUAUUUAUUAGAUAGUAAUCUAAUUAAGAAAAUUUUUGAUAAUGGACGAUAGCAACUUUUGAAAAGUGAGUGGUACUAGUUGUAUAGCUAAAGAUUUUUCAUCCUAGGUAUAAACAUUUCAAUAACUUCUGAAAUACUGGUUUAGAAGUUUUUAUUAAUCAGUCAUUUUUCUAAUUAUAUAAUUAUCUAUAAAAUAAACUAGUUAAUUAUGUAAUUUGCAAAUAAAAAAAAAAAAAAUUGCACCCUUAAAGGAUGAUUAUAAUAAAUACUUUAUGAUUGUUAAAUUGAGAAAAACAAAUAAAUAAAAGAAUCUAGAUAGUAAAUUAUUAAUAUUAUUUUUCGAUCAAGUCGUUCAACAUACUAUACAGGAAUUAUCUUGUAUAGUGGUGUAAUUCAACCUUAAGGUGGCCUUUUCAAAUUCAAUAUUUUUUAUAUUAAAAAGCUAAUACAUUUUGAUAACAUUUUUCAUACAAAUUUCUAAAUGUUUCCUUAAAUUUUAUUUGAAAAAAUCUUGAAGAGCCACAAAACCUCGGAGCAACAAAGUAUCACUUUGCCAGCUUUUUUAAUGUUUCGCCACUGGGUUAAUAUUAAAAACUAUUAAAUAGUUACAAUAUAAUUUGCAAUUAAUAACUAUUAUUUCAACAGUUCUGCUUUCAAAAAUAUUGUAAUAGUACUAUAAAGCAAACAGACAGAUAUAAGAAUAUAAAUAAGUUUGCCCAUUAUCAUAUUGAAUAUUAUAUAAUUGUGUCUGGAAUAGAAAAUUUAAAUACUAUAAAUUAACUACACUGAUAGUUAAUGUCAAAAUGUUCAUAAAUCAACAGAAAUGACUCCAACGGCAUAAAUUAAUGCCAUCAAAAUAAACUAAUGACAUUUUAUAAUGAAUGUACUUUACAAUUAUUUAAUAUGAUAUGACUUAAUUACAAAGUUAAUUUUGAAGUAUAAAAAUUGUCUCGUUGAAAUUUUAUGGUAGGUUUUUACUUAAUUUCAAAGUACAUAUGCAUAAAAUAAUUUUUUUGUGAAUAUAAAUUAACAAUUAUGUAAAACUACUUAUGUUUGUUAUUAUGAUUGACAAAUAUUGAAUAAUUUUGUUUGUUAAAAUUAUUAAAGUCAGUUAAACUUACUCAUUAUUGUAAAUCAAGUAUAAAUAAUUUAUUACACUGGAAAUUUACUAGUU
Daktulosphaira vitifoliae (grape phylloxera) is the source of this 3124-nucleotide RNA transcript. It is a transcript of the gene named myotilin-like, with no coding region annotated. The record is from RefSeq and is a predicted model, not a curated record. NCBI's taxonomy places the organism in Eukaryota, Metazoa, Arthropoda, Insecta, Hemiptera, Phylloxeridae. The transcript is spliced from 9 exons.